GUGUCGUGAGAUGUUGGGUUAAGUCCCGCAACGAGCGCAACCCCUAUAACUAGUUGCCAGCAUUGAGAUGGGGACUCUAGUUAGACUGCCGGUGACAAACCGGAGGAAGGUGGGGAUGACGUCAAAUCAUCAUGCCCCUUAUGACCUGGGCUACACACGUGCUACAAUGGAUGGUACAACGAGCAGCGAACUCGCGAGGGUAAGCGAAUCUCUAAAAGCCAUUCUCAGUUCGGAUUGUAGUCUGCAACUCGACUACAUGAAGCCGGAAUCGCUAGUAAUCGCGGAUCAGCACGCCGCGGUGAAUA
This 305-nucleotide ribosomal RNA is filed under the name uncultured bacterium. RNAcentral's name for it is "bacterial SSU rRNA". It matches the Rfam family "Bacterial small subunit ribosomal RNA", at positions 1062 to 1368 of the family's 1533-position model. The record is from RNAcentral.